Long non-coding RNA from Bos taurus (domestic cattle), 1060 nucleotides. Lineage: Eukaryota; Metazoa; Chordata; Mammalia; Artiodactyla; Bovidae. The record is from Ensembl.
ACAAACAAACCUACUUAGCUUGACCUGAGAAAUAGGCAGGAGGUAAUUAUGGGCUCCUGUGGCUAUUUCAAUGGCUGCACUCUUCCUAAAGGAGCAAAUACCUGUGAGCUUAGGUGUGAUGCAGGGCCAGCAGACAGAAGCAAUUAAACCUCUUCUGAUCUAAUUGAAAAACAAAAACCAGCAAACACCAAAGAAUAUCAUCCUUCAGAUUUGCAAAGGAACCAGUAAUAUUGUGUAUUAUGGUAUAUAUAAAUGCAGGGAUGAGAACUUCCCUGGAAGUCCUGUGUGGUUAAGUCUUCACCUUCCAAUGCAGGGGGAGCGAAUCUGAUCCCCGAUCAGGGAGCUAAGAUUCCACACACCUCAUGGCCCAAAACCCGAAAUAUAAAACAAAAGCAAAUAUUGUAACAAAUUCAAUAAAGACUUUUAAAAUGGUUCACUUUAAACAAGAAAAAGAAAAAAAUAGGGAUGAACUGCAGGAAACCUGGAGAGUAAGCUCAGAGAAGCUGAGUCUAAUGGAAGAGGCAAUAAAGAGCUAUUGGCAGUUCUGACCAGAAAAAAAGGAUGUGGUGGGAAUGGAGUUUAUAGAACCAACACCUGGCCAUGAUGCUUGAAGGAUGAAUUAAUUAUGCUCUUUCUGAGUCAGAGCAAUAGAAUCGACAUCUUUGCUUCCAUAGCUUUGUGCUCCUUUCUCACAUUCUCUCUCCACUUUCCUACAUGGGAGAAUUCCCCCUUUUCAACACACAACUCGGAAGCUGUUUUCUUCCAAGCCUUCACUGAACACCCAACAGCCAGAAUUCUAUCUUCUGUGUUUUGCUUCUGCUGGUGGUGCUGCAACUUCCCGACUGUGUUCUGUCAGAUUCUAUGUUUCCAGAUGCUGUGCUAUGACGUGCCUCAUGCAGUCUUCAUCUUCAUUGACCUAAGACAUAUACGUAACCCCACCUGAAGACUCCAGUCCACAGUAUCACAAUGAUCUCCACCCCUUGCCCAGCACGUACUCCAAAUGACAUCAGCAACUGAUGCGCACAACUUAAUUUCUGAUUGGAGAAAACAUCAUAUUUAU